Molecule: ribosomal RNA, 510 nt
Filed under: uncultured bacterium
Lineage: Bacteria
Description: bacterial SSU rRNA
Rfam family: Bacterial small subunit ribosomal RNA
Source: RNAcentral
AACGAACGCUGGCGGCAGGCUUAACACAUGCAAGUCGAACGCUCGUAGCAAUACGGGAGUGGCAGACGGGUGAGUAACGCGUGGGAAUCUCCCCAAAGGUACGGAACAACUCAGGGAAACUUGAGCUAAUACCGUAUGUGCCCGGGAGGGCAAAGAUUUAUCGCCUUUGGAUGAGCCCGCGUUGGAUUAGCUAGUUGGUGGGGUAACGGCCUACCAAGGCGACGAUCCAUAGCUGAUCUGAGAGGAUGAUCAGCCACACUGGGACUGAGACACGGCCCAGACUCCUACGGGAGGCAGCAGUGGGGAAUCUUGGACAAUGGGCGAAAGCCUGAUCCAGCCAUGCCGCGUGAGUGAAGAAGGCCUUAGGGUUGUAAAGCUCUUUUUGCCCGGGAAGAUAAUGACGGUACCGGGAGAAUAAGCCCCGGCGAACUUCGUGCCAGCAGCCGCGGUAAUACGAAGGGGGCUAGCGUUGUUCGGAUUUACUGGCGUAAGCGCACGUAGGCGGAUGUU